RNAcentral lists this ribosomal RNA (755 nucleotides) under uncultured Chlamydiae bacterium. Its description in RNAcentral is "bacterial SSU rRNA". It matches the Rfam family "Bacterial small subunit ribosomal RNA", at positions 573 to 1328 of the family's 1533-position model. Lineage: Bacteria; Pseudomonadati; Chlamydiota; Chlamydiia. The record is from RNAcentral.
AGGCGGGAUUGAAAGUCAGACGUGAAAGCCCAGGGCUCAACCCUGGAAUUGCAUCUGAAACUUCAUUCCUUGAGGAUAGACGGAGAAGACAGAAUUCCACGUGUAGCGGUGAAAUGCGUAGAUAUGUGGAAGAAUACCGGUGGCGAAGGCGGUCUUCUAGUUUAUUCCUGACGCUGAGGCGCGAAAGCAAGGGGAGCGAACAGGAUUAGAUACCCUGGUAGUCCUUGCCGUAAACGAUGCAUACUUGGUGUAGCUGGUCUCAACCCCAGCUUUGCCGGAGCUAACGCGUUAAGUAUGCCGCCUGGGGAGUACGCUCGCAAGGGUGAAACUCAAAAGAAUUGACGGGGACCCGCACAAGCAGUGGAGCAUGUGGUUUAAUUCGAUGCAACGCGAAGAACCUUACCCAGGCUUGACAUGUAGAGGACCGCUCUGGAAACAGAGUUUCUCGUAUGAGUCUCUACACAGGUGCUGCAUGGCUGUCGUCAGCUCGUGCCGUGAGGUGUUGGGUUAAGUCCCGCAACGAGCGCAACCCUUGUCGUUAGUUGCCAACAGGUAAUGCUGGGAACUCUAACGAGACUGCCUAGGUUAACUAGGAGGAAGGUGAGGAUGACGUCAAGUCAGCAUGGCCCUUAUGCCUGGGGCGACACACGUGCUACAAUGGUCGGUACAGAGGGCAGCUAAGCCGCGAGGUGGAGCAAAUCCCCAAAACCGAUCUCAGUUCGGAUUGUAGUCUGCAACUCGACUACAUGAAGUCG